Octodon degus (degu) is the source of this 107-nucleotide small nuclear RNA. Lineage: Eukaryota; Metazoa; Chordata; Mammalia; Rodentia; Octodontidae. The record is from Ensembl.
GUGCUUGCUUUGGCAGCACAUAUACUAAAACUGGAAUGACACAGAGAACAUUAGCAUGGCCUCUGUAUAAGGAUGACAUGAAAAUUCAGAAAGUGCUUCAUAGUAAA